RNAcentral lists this long non-coding RNA (511 nucleotides) under Gossypium raimondii (Peruvian cotton). RNAcentral's name for it is "long non-coding RNA (GRAI_LNC004924)". Lineage: Eukaryota; Viridiplantae; Streptophyta; Magnoliopsida; Malvales; Malvaceae. The record is from RNAcentral.
UUUUUAUUUAGUUUUUAGUAAUAAGUUUGGAUUAAAAAUGGUUUGGUUGUAGGGGGAUGGGAUAAGGUUUUGAAAAGUCUAUUUUUUGUGUGCAAAGGGAUAGAUGAGGACCAAAAAGAAAUCCUAUUCCAUCUUUAACACCACAAUCGACCUUACCAAAUUACUAUCUUAUUGGUUGCAGAAAAGCACAUACAACUCCACUUCAUCAAAGUUUGAAUCUGGAUGAUAAAAAGAUGGUAAAGCCUACUUGGUUGGGCUUGAAUCUGGAUGAUAAAAAGAUGGUAAAAGGGCAACAUAAAAGCCCCAAGGGAUUUAGCCCAUUGAACCCAUUUAGCUCAAUGGAUAACUCUUGAGUGGAAACGUGAUUGAUUUGAUUGAACAUAAAAAGAAAAGAGGUUGUGGCCGCCAUUAACAAGUAUUCAACAGUUAUCUUACAAAUGAAUAUGAUAGAGGAUGUCAAACCAAGAAUACGAUGUACCUAAAGUUUGGCAUUCCGCAAAAGGAUGCUAGC